This 429-nucleotide ribosomal RNA is filed under the name Chloroflexota bacterium. Its description in RNAcentral is "Chloroflexi bacterium partial 16S ribosomal RNA". It matches the Rfam family "Bacterial small subunit ribosomal RNA", at positions 355 to 776 of the family's 1533-position model. The record is from RNAcentral. Lineage: Bacteria; Bacillati; Chloroflexota.
UGGGGAAUAUUGCACAAUGGGCGCAAGCCUGAUGCAGCCAUGCCGCGUGUAUGAAGAAGGCCUUCGGGUUGUAAAGUACUUUCAGCUGGGAGGAAGGGAGUAAAGUUAAUACCUUUGCUCAUUGACGUUACCCGCAGAAGAAGCACCGGCUAACUCCGUGCCAGCAGCCGCGGUAAUACGGAGGGUGCAAGCGUUAAUCGGAAUUACUGGGCGUAAAGCGCACGCAGGCGGUUUGUUAAGUCAGAUGUGAAAUCCCCGGGCUCAACCUGGGAACUGCAUCUGAUACUGGCAAGCUUGAGUCUCGUAGAGGGGGGUAGAAUUCCAGGUGUAGCGGUGAAAGGCGUAGAGAUCUGGAGGAAUACCGGUGGCGAAGGCGGCCCCCUGGACGAAGACUGACGCUCAGGUGCGAAAGCGUGGGGAGCAAACAGG